Molecule: long non-coding RNA, 6384 nt
Filed under: Sus scrofa (pig)
Lineage: Eukaryota; Metazoa; Chordata; Mammalia; Artiodactyla; Suidae
Description: lncRNA (ENSSSCG00025046218.1)
Source: RNAcentral
AAUGUAAUAAUGCAAGUAAAGCACUGUAUAGUGUCUGGCACAAAGAAAUGCUAAAUAAAUGUUAGCUAUUAAAACUGAGGUUGAUGAUAAUGAGUCAUAGUAACUAUUAUAAUUAGCCAAAGUGAAUGAACUUUCAACCCUAUCAUUGCAUAUUUGAUGGUGAUCUUUCUGAUAUAAUAUUUUUAAAAAGCAUUGGAUAGUUUUUUUAUUUGUCCUAAGAUAUCUUAAAUUUAAUCUAAAUUAGAAUCCUGAGACAAAACAACUACUAUUUCUACAGCAAUAACAUAAUUAACAUUUCUUCCAUAAUAUGUAAUAGACUUAAAGAAAGCUUGGAAAUAGGUAGAGAUUUUAAUGAUAUUUGGUUGUCCUAACUUAUUGCUAAAGCCCAUGAAACUCUGUUACAAAAGCUCUUAGCAACUGCACUUGAAUCAGUUGUGCAGGACAUCUGCUUGUUUGGUUAUGGGGAAAUGGUUGAACUUAAACAUGAAAGAUUAAAUGAAAAUCCACAUAACAGACUAUUACUGUUGAUUUUCAGAUUGAUAAGUGCAGGAAAUUAAGGUGGUUAGAGAAAGGAAGCAAUGUGCCACUGCAGGAGGAAAACCUGUAACUGCCAAGUGAUAUGCCAUUGUGUCUGCUUCAAAAUCUCCUAGGCAUUCUCUGUAAAUGACAGAGAGACAACUCCAAAAAUAGCAGUGCUUGGCAACACUUUAAACCAACUGAAAAUAUCAUUACUUUGGAAUAUCUAAAAGAAACAAAGAUACCAAUGGAAAGACAUGGAUUCAGGAGACAAAUUGGCAGUUACAUGUAGAAUAUUUAAAAUAUUUAAAAAGAAAGCUCAAUGAGUUAUCAUUAAUCAUAUUCACAGUGUUUUAAUAAUAAUCGACUAAGCAUACUCUGAAAAUAUCCACAAGAAAGAAAUCCCAACUAAAACUAGGUUACCCUCCAAGUUCAAGCCCAGUUCUUAGACAAAUGCAUGUCUCCAGGCAUUAAAUCCAGAGUGGGAAAUACAUACACAUUCAAAUCAAUAACAGUAGUUGCCUGGCAGUCAAUAUUAAACAUAAGAUUGCAAUGAUUUGUCCUGACUCUGUAGGAAAAAAUGCUGUGAUCCAUUAGUGAUGUCUUUCAGGAGAACAGAAAAGAGAUUGUGGGCCUAUGCCCUGUCUGUAUUUUAUAUCCUCCCAGUUUAAUAGUGUGCUUCUGGUCCCAUCAGACCAGAUGCCCCAGGUGUCACAGCUGAGCAUCUGCCUUCUUCCUCUGAGCCUGAGUUCUUGCCUUGGCAACGUGCCUAGAAACACCAGUCUCCCUAGGAUGGAGGGACAGAGCAUUCAUCAUGUGCCAGUGAUAUAAACCCAACUCAAACUAGCUGAAAUAGAAAAAACAGGAUGUAUUGUCUCACUUAACUGUGGAGUCCAGGGAUGAAACUAGUGCCCAGCCCAAGAUUCAGAAGUUUUAUCAAGUUGUCAGAAAUCUGUUUCUCUCUCAUCCUUCCCUCCUUCUCUUAAAAAGGCUUUCUAUAGAGAAAGCAAGAUGGCUACCAGCAAUGUCAGACUCAUAUCUCCCCCUUCAGUAACCACAGUGGAAGGUACAAAUCUUUCCUGAUGGCUCUUAANAAAAAAAAAAAAAAAAAAAAAAAAAAAAAAAUCCCAGGCAAGAUUCUGAUUGUCCUUGAUUCAAUUGCAUGGAUACACCAAAACUACUAAAGCCAGAAGGGCUGUGAACUCUGAUCAGCUAGAUUUGGCUUCAGUGUCCACCCAGGUAGCUAAGAGUAGGAAAGGGGCUCUAAGCAUCGGUGGUUUCUGAAGAAAAAGUACCUAUGGACACUGGGGAUCUGGAAAUUACCUUAAAAUCAUUUGUGGUCACAGAUCCUGAGGAAGUCUUCAGUUACUGAAGGGCACACAUCCCAGAGCUGGACCAUUUGAAAGCUUCUCUACUGAUUCUCUUAAUCAGCUGGUGUGGAAAUCCUUGCUUAAGAUGCAGGAGGAGUUCUCAUUACAUGGAGAGGUUUCACAGGGAGAUUUUAUUCUCCUUUUGGCAAAGAAAAUCUUCUUUCAAUUUACAAGGGGAAGAGAAUGAGAGAAAGAGAGAGAGGGAGAGAGAGACUUCUACUUUAAGGAAAAAGUUCUGGGGAAAGAAACGAAGUCAGGGAAGUAAGUCUGACACUCACAUUACUUGGAUGGAGGAGACACUUGCUGAGAACAUGUACUCAUUACUGACAGCCUCUCAGAGAUCAAGGGACAAGGUCAGAGCAGUUUUCUGUACUUUUAGGUGGGAUCCUGAAGAACUGCAGCCUAAGUGUAAAGGUAAACUGGAAGCAAAUCAGCCCUCACACAGGCUACAGCCCAGUUUUAUAACAUCUAGAGGCUAAAAAGUGUCAGUCAAUACAUGCUUGGUUUAAGGUGAUCCCAGAUUGCUAAUACACUCCUGUGAUGCAGGAACAAAUAAAACUUGUCUCAUAACAAAGAUAAUAAUCAUUUCAGGCCUCAAAUUACUUCCAUAAGUUUUAAAAAUAAAUGUUUGGGACACAAUCAAAAAUAACUAGACACACAAAAAAGACAAAACACCAUUUGCAAGAGCCAGCAGAGAUAACAGACAACAGAAACAGACUCAGAGAUACUCUAAAUUUGAAUAGAUACGACACACCAUAAAGCUCCAAUGCCUGCUAUAUUCAAGGCGAUAAAAGAUACGUUUUAAAAAUUUGGCAAGGAGGUGUAAACUAUAAAGGUGACACUGCAGAUUUGAAAAGCAAUCAAAUAGGAAUUCUAGAACAGAAAAUACAAUGGCCAAAAUUAAGAACACAGGUUCUUAACUCAGGACAGGUUGAACAGAAGAUUAAACAAAGCAAUAAAGAAAGAGUGAACCAAAAGAUAUAUAAGAAUAAAAGUCCAGGGUUUCUGUGGUGACACAGUGGGUUAAGGAUCCAGUGUUGUCACUGCUGUGGCUCAGGUCACUGCUGUGCCACUGGUUCAAUCCCUGGCCUGAGAACUUCCACUUGCUGGGGGUGCGGCAAAAAAAAAAAAAAAAAAAAAAAAAAGUCCAGAAUAUUUAAUUUUAGUCACAAAAGGACAGCCAAUUAAGUCCUGAGCAGAAUAAAUAAGGAGGCAAAGAUGGAAAUUCCCAGAGCUGAAAACAGUCACACAUCUUCAAAUUAAAAAGGCCACCAAUCACAAUUUUUUACAAAAAUUCUAUAUGUUCCUAAAUGUUACCUCAUCUUAAGAAGCUACACACCUGGAGUUCCCGUCUUGGUGCAGUGGUUAAUGAAUCUGACUAUGAUCCAUGAGAUUGUGGGUUCGAUCCCUGCUCUUGCUUAGUGGGUUGACGAUCUGGUGUUGCCGUGAGCUGUGGUGUAGGUCGCAGACGUGGCUCGGAUCCCACGUUGCUUUGGCUCUGGCAUAGGCUGGCAGCUACAGCUCCGUUUAGACUCCUAGCCUGGGAACCUCCACAUGCCGCGGGAGUGGCCCAAGAAAUGGCAAAAAGACAAAAAAAAAGAAGCUACACACCGACCCAUUGUUCUCAUUUACAGCAACAUGUUCCUUUCCUUCUUUUCACAUGACUGACUUUGUGUAUUCACUCAUUUAUACUCUUGUCUUUUUUAGCCCCAACCCUCAAAUAUAUUCUCCGUACAGACAGAGACCCUGUCUACCUUGUUUUCUGUUAUUUCUAGAGCAUAUGCAUGCAGUGUCUGGCUUCAGAGCUGGGUCUAGGGCAGAGAUGUAAGGGGCACUCACUCUCAGAGUCAUGCAUUACACUGAAAAUAGGCCUGAAAGAUUACACUUGUUUUAAACAACAACACGGAAAAUUUGAUUGUCAAUAGCCUUCUUAUCAGCAACACUGGAUGAUGGAAGAUAAUGGGGAGACGGGAUUAAGAUGGCAGAAUAGAAGGACUGGAGCUCAACUUCUCUCCCAAAAACAACAGAAUUCACAAUUAAAGGCUGAGCAAUCUUCAACCGGAAGAUUGACUGGAAACCUUAAAAAAGAUAUCCUACUCCAGAAGAAAAAGAAGAGGCCACAUCAUAGAGGUAGGAGGGGCGAUUACAUGAUAUAAGCAACCCCAUACCUCCUGGGUGGGAAGCCCCACAGACUGGAAACUAACUGGUUCACAGAGACUCACCUACAGGAGUGAGAGUUCCGAGCCCCACAUCAAACCCUCACUUGCGGGGAUCUGGCACUGGGAGAAAGAGCCCCCAGAGCAUCUGGCAUUGAAGGCCAGUGGGGCUUGUGCGCAGGAGCUCCAUGGGACUGGGGGAAACUGAGACCCCAUUCUUAAUAGGCACACACAGACUUUCACGUGCACUGGGUCCCAGGGCAAAGCAAAGUCUCCAUAGGAAUCUGGGUCAAACCUGACUGCAGUUCUUGGAGGACCUCCUGGGAAAACAGGUGUGAAUGUGGCUUGUUGUGGGGGAGGGACACUGGAAGCAAAGGUCUUGGGAAUAUUCAUCAGCCGUGCCUUUCUCUGGAGGGGGCCAUUUUGGGAAAACCUAGCCCUCAUCAGUGCUGAGAAGACCCAGGCCAAAUAACAAUCCAGGUGGGAUCGCAGCCCCGCCCAUCAGGCUGCCUAAAGACCCCCAGGCACACAGCCACCUCUAAUCUCACCCAGAGACAAAGCCCCACCCACCAGAGGGACAGGAAUCAGCUCCACCUACCAGUGGGCACCCUCAGUCCCUCCCAUCAGGAAACCUAUAGCAAGCCCCCUACCAGCUUCAGCCACAAGGGGGGCAGACACCAGAAGGAAGAGAGGCUACAACUCUAUUAUCUGUAAAAAGAUCACCACACCAAAAACCUAUAAAAAUGAAAAGACAGAGAACUAUAACUCAGAUGAGGGAGAAAGGAAAAACCCCAGAAAAUCAGCUAAGNNNNNNNNNNNNNNNNNNNNNNNNNNNNNNNGAUGAGGAGAUUCUCAGCCUCCAGGAAAAAGACUUUAGACUGUUGAUGCUGAAGAUGAUGCAAGACAUUGGAAAUAAACUGGAGGCAAAGAUGGAUAACUUACAGGAAACACUGACCAAAGAGAUACAAGAUUUAAAACUUAAACAAGAAGAGAUGCAAAAUACAAUAACUGAAAUAAAAAAAAAUUCCCUAGAAGCAGGAGGCAGAAGAAUGAAUAAGCAAGAAGUAUACACCCAUGGUUCCCAUCGUGGCUCAGCAGUUAACAAACCUGACUGGAUCCAUGAGGAUGUGGGUUCUAUCCCUGGCCUUGCUCGGUGGGUUAAGGAUCUGGCGUUGCUAUGAGCUGUGGGAUAGGUCGAAGACGUAGCUAGGAUGCCACAUUUCUGUGGCUCUGGCCAAGGCUGGCAGCUACAGCUCUGGUUGGACCCCUAGCCUGGGAACUUCCAUAUGCUGCAGGUGUGGCCCUAAAAGACAAAAAUAAGUAAAUAAGUAAAUAAUAAAAGUAUACACCCUAUCAGCCAGCAUUCAAACGGGAGAACAAAAUAAAGAUUUCCUCGAAAGUGUUCUGAAAGUUUAUCAUGUUCAGCGCCUUUCUGAAAAAAUUGCUUGAGAACGUAUUUCAGAAAAAUAAAACUUGGAAGGAAGAAAAAAAGUGGAGCACCAAAAACCCUUGUGUAGAAAGAUGGUAGUUAAGUAUAAAUAGUUACAAUACGUAAUGUAAAUAAACGCAUGAAAGCUGGAAUUAAAACCCCCGAUGAUUUCCUUAUGGUAGGAAAUGGAGAGAAAGGGGAAGAAUUUCCUAAGACAUUAGUCUUAUUAUUUGGAAAGGACAUAACUACGGUUUAACUCUAUACACUGAGUGAAAAAUAAAUAGGAGCACUAGGUUUUUAAAAUAAUUAUUGGAGGAAUAGAGUAUGUAUAAUUUCCAAAGCAAGACUAGAAAAGAAAACACAAAUGAAUCUAAAAAAUUUAUAUGUGUCUACAUCUAAAAAUUUAAAUUAUAAGGAUAUUUUUUAACCUGAUACAAUAUGUGCUAAAAAUUUGAUCUCUGGAGAGAUUUGGAGAUAACUAAGAAGUAAGUUGGGGGGUGGAAUGCAGAUGAAAGGAGAAUUACAUUUUUUGGCCACUCCAAAUAUUUCUGAUUUGGUUUCAUAAAUGUGUAUUCAGGUAUGAUGAAGGUACUUUGUUUGGCUGUGCCCACAGCAUGAGGAAGAUCCUGGGCCAGGGAUGGAACCUAUACCACAGCAGAAACCCGAGCCACAGCAAAACCCUAUGUUUUAAGUACCACAGGAUUUUUUAACUGAUAGAAAUCCUAAUGGGAAUUCUUUUGUUUUCUUUUUUCUCUCUCUCGAUCCCUCCCUGCCUUCUUCCACUCUACCUCCCCUCUGCUUUCUUUUACUUUUUCUUUUCUUUUUCUUUUUCUUUUUUUAUUUUUAGGGCUGCACCUGCGGCAUAUGGGAGUUCCUGGACUAGGGUUCAAAUCAGAGCUGCAGCUACCACCCU